CAGAACCAUCUUCUGUAUCAUCGCUCUCUUCAGUGUCCUCAGUGCUCACCACAAAUAGAUUACUUUUUCCUUCAACUGGCCCUGGUGGAUUCAAGCAGCUGGUGGCAGUGGCACCUUGUGAUUUAGAGGACACUGUUGAAGAAUCUUGGAAAACCCCUUUCCUUUUCAAGUACACAACCUAAAAAAGCACAAGAAUCCCAUCAGAGAAUGUUUGAGACACAUUGAACCAGAAUUAAAUGCAACAAUGCCACACCUAGAAAGGGCAUAAGAAGACAAGUAAAUGCAUCUACAGAAGAAAAUAAGCAUACCGCAUCCAACUAAGCAUGCUUGCAUCUCUUCAUAGUUGCUUGCAAGCAUGUUCUUAUGUAUAUACAAGCCUAAAAAAUCCCAAUAUGCACAUAAUGAUUGGCAUAUAAGAUGAGCUAAGUAGAUUUAAAGGUCAGAGACUUGAGGCAUUUUGCUUCUAUCAUGGAACAAAGUUUCAAUCUAGUGGAGAAGGGAUGAAAGCCAAGAAAAAAGCAUAAAGGCAUUUUGCUCCUUCCCAUGGGGCAAGGUUUGAUUCCAGGGGAGUCCAAUUGCAGUUGCAUACUUUCAUCACAGCUACAGCUACAAUCCUCGUAACAGUGCAUGUCACAGCAUUAAGCCCAUUGUAGAUUUAAUGUAAGUACUUAACAGUUGUAAUAGUGAGACAAAUGUAAUCAUUCAGAAAAGAUUGACAGAUUUAACUGCAGU
RNAcentral lists this unclassified non-coding RNA (732 nucleotides) under Hevea brasiliensis (rubber tree). Lineage: Eukaryota; Viridiplantae; Streptophyta; Magnoliopsida; Malpighiales; Euphorbiaceae. The record is from RNAcentral.